GCUGGAGGAGGGGAGGUGUGGGGCGACCCGGCUGGAUGGAGAGAAGGGAGAGGCCGAGCCCCAAGACCAGGGAGGAAGGAGGCCAGAGCAGUCCCUGGCAAGAGAAGAAUCUGGCAGGAAAGACCUGGAAAAUAAGGGGUUGGGGGGCGGGGAGCUCCUCGGAAGAUGGGAAAGGGGGACUCCUGCAGACCCCGGAGAGAUGGAGAGCCUGAGUGUGAACUCCAGGGACCGAGAUGAGAGCGCGAUGGCUCUUCACUGGUCUCUGAGCUGCUCGUACCGAGGGAAGGGGAGAGGCGAGGCGGGGAGGCGAGUUUCCUCAGUUAAAAGUGAAAGUGUUUGCCCUCAGUGACAGCUGAGGCUCGGGGAGGUCGGCGGCGACCUGGGCCCCUCUCUCUUCGCCGGUCCUCCCUCGGUCUCUCCUCUUUCUUUCUGCACUUUGUCCAAUGAAAGAAGGCGAGUUCGGGAGGUGAAAGUUCAGCAGAAGGACAAACCCCUGUUUGCAGGGAAACAGAAACCCCGCCAGCGAGGGGUUUUUCCUGGUAUCGCGGCAUCGGGAGAGAGUGCACGGCGGGGCGAGCUUCCCCCCUUCCCUGUCAGUCACUGCAGGAAUGCACGGUCGGGCCCACUGGGGGGAAGCGGCUGCUCCGGGAACUGCGUUCCUGCCACGGCUCCUCGUAGGAAAACACCCGGGGGCUGGCAUGUCAAUCAGUUGUUUAACACAAACUACCUGCUCGCCCACAGAUCAGUCACGUGCAAAAGCUUUCCCAAUGGUGCAAAGAUUCAUCACCCCGGAUGCUGCCAAACUCCCAAGCCAGCACGUGCAGGUUCUAGCUGGAUGGUUUACACCAGGCCAGUUCUUCAUCAAAAUGCCUCAGGAGCCAACCCUCUGAAUUCCUACAAAGUGCUUCCCGCAGGAGAGCGAGACUUGCUGUCCCUUUGGUCUUGACACUAGCACAGUUGUAGAUAACAAAUAUCCUGAAAAGGAUAUUAUACAUUCUUUUGGGUGGUGUACUUUUACAAAUACGGCUAUACAUUCAUUGACAGGAGAUUCAAAUCUCCGUGUCAAUGACAGGCUACCACUUACCACUUUUUAAAAUUGUAUCUGCUUUGCAAGUAAAAAAAAUAAAAUUAUAACCAAGCCAUUCACUGGUGCUGUAGAAUCAGGCACGAGGGGCUGCGCUCAGCUAGUUCCAGCACAGCAGCAUCCAUGCAUGAGGCUCCGGCGCCAGGCUCCAGUCUACCCAGACAAAACCAUCCACCCGAUCUUCUAGGCUAGAAUCUGGAUAGAUAAAACACAUUUUAGUGUUGCGUUUCCUAGCUUCCCAGAGCUCGGUGUUCCUGUUGUCUUUGUCGAGACAUUAACACAUGUUCCCCUGUGUUCUAGACCAUAGAGUGGGCUUUUAGAGAUGCACAGAUAAAUAAAACUCCUGCCAGGAGCACUGCAGCAGCCUACAGCUGUCAAUCAUAACAUCUAAUAUUUAUUGAACGCUUUCUAUGGCCUAGGCACUGAUCUAAAAGCUUUAUGUCAACUCGCUUAAAACUCUCCGCACCCCUUCAACAGCACUGGAAAUUCCACAUUCUGAAUUCACAUGGCAUUAUUCAAAAAAAUCUACAUAGUAGCCAUUCUAUUGGGAAAUUUUUGUUUUUAAUUUCUGUGAUGUUUCUGCCAAAUAUAACUUGUUUAUGAUCUAUUGCCUGGUUGUAGAGACUGUCUCAGGGGAAUAGCAAUUUAUUUAGACGUGACACAUCUAUUAAUUGUCGGUGAGGUAUCAUCCUGAUCUUGUUUUUCAGAUAAGCCACGUGGGUUGUUGUUGUUUUUUAAUCAUUAUUGCCAUACUAAAAAGAUUCUUAGAUUGCCACUGAUCUCAGUCUGCAUUUUAACUGCCUUAAAUUCUACAUUCAUUUGCAAGUGGAGGCCAGAGUCAUGUUGGCAACAAGUUUUUAGACAAAAGGAAAUCCUGGCUGUAAAUCCCAUAAUAUAUGGCACUCUGCUUCAUAUGGGAUGGUCUAAUGCGGAGACUUAUUAAGGAACAGCUAUAGCCCGCUGGGGCUCCCGUUCCAGGGAACUUACUGCAGCUUAACGUCUGGCUCAUUGUCGACACCGUCACGUUACAUUCGUAAGGAGCAGAUUUUAAUUUCUUUAUCAGUAAUCAACUGGAAGUUUCUUUUUGUUAAAUUACAGCAAGAAGGGUUUUCAAAUAAAGGGCAUGGGGGUAGGACGCCACCUUUUGGUGAUAAAAUAAAUAGAAAUCCUUUUUGGAAACAUGUUCCUGACAUGAUUUUAUUUUUAAUUACACCCAGGCAAUGGUGCUUGUCCCCGUUUCCUCGUAUUUUAAGGUACAGGGAAGAAAAAGAACAAUAUAAAUGGACAAUUAGCAGAUUACUGCUAACUGCAGCCAGGAUUUCCCCAGAAGUACCAGAAUGUGUCGGUGUCCUGCCGCACACCGCCAACUAGACAUCACACUGGAGCCUUAAUCUCCACGUACUGUGCCACGGAAUAUGUGCACGUUUGGGGAAGAGGACUUGGAGUGGAGACAGUUGCCACCUCCUUAGAUGCCUGAAGCUCAUGGAAGUUUAGAAUUGAGCAGAAAUCAGAACAACCUCGUUCAGUGUCUCUUAAAGCAGAGUUAGCACCUUCCCAAUUUUUUUGCGCUACCUAUAUGACGUCAUUUCUACAUAAUCCCCACACUGUACUCACUGGCGGGCAGGUGUGGUGUUGGUGUACCAUUUCCACUUCACAACAACCUACUUGGCAUUUUUCUUUUACCAUUUUCAGCGGGAAUAGGUGUCCACCUCCAUAAACAAGUGCAUUGAAACAAAGUUACUGAUUUCUCUUUGUGCGAGUUUAGGGAAAGGAAAGUAGAAAGUGCAUUAAAAGAGAUUGCCCAGGUACUGAAGGUCCUGGAGACUUUUACAGACGCAAACCUCUCUGAAGGUUUUUCUUCUCCCCCUGCACGCCCCCGGCUCUGGAACAAGCAGAAGGAUUCAAAGUGGUUGAAAAGGAUACAGUCCUCAGCAGGGGAGUCUCCCCUCGCUAAUGCCAGCCCUGUGCCCAGGUUGCACAGCAGUGUUAUCAGAUUGCAGGUGAGGCCCUGGCAUUUAAACCAUUCACCAGAGCCAAACGAUUGGUGAGUGACUGGACGAGAUGAGGACCCAGGAGUGCUGGCCUGGGGGAUUUCCAUCUCACUUUUUCCACAUUCGCAGAUGUGACCCAUCCUCAGACCUCAGGCAGCAUGCCUAGCUCCCCAGGAACAGCCAUCGAAACCGAGCCCACGCUCAAGAUCAAGUUCAACACCCUUCUCAGCCUCUUCAAUGUGGCAGACACCUGAGUGGGCAAACACAGGGCAGAGGGAGGGCUGCAGGGGCAGGUUUGCAAGUGUGGGUGGACCUUUCUCAAAAUGAAAGCCAAAACCUUUGAUUUCCCUCCGAGAAGGUGAAAAGUCAUCAUGAAAAUCACGUGUUUUACCCUAAGUGCCAGGAGGAGCCCGUCCUCCCUGUGCCCAUGCCCCUGUCUGUCCAGGCUGGAGGUCAGCAGGGGGUCUGCUGUUUUACCAUAUAUGAUACCAACAGGCACUGAGACCCAAUCACAUUUGCUAACUGUGUGGCUGGAAAAGUUAACCAGAGGAAGCUUGAUCGACCCCAGCUUUGCAAGUAUUUUCCUUAAAAACAAACUUCACAGGCUCAGAUUUAAAUCUGGAGAUGUAGUGUCCUUUGUGAUAUCCUAACCAGACAGGGGCUUUAGCUACCAAGACCGCAUUUCCUGCCUUGUUUUAUUUUGUUCCCUUAAAGAAUGCAGUUGUAUACACAGAAGUAAAUAUGGCCUGCCAACAGCUUUACAUUGUUCUAAAUUGGUCCUUGUGACAAGAGGUUGCCAAGAAAUCUACUAUACAGCAGUUGGCCCCAGGGGACCAGAUGGAUUGAAGUCCCUCUGCAUGACAAUGCACAAGAAAGGACUUGGCCAGUUACCUUCAUGCCAAAGAGCUGUCCCUGCGCCCUGAGCCCUGAGCACCCCAUGAAAAAUGUUGGUACCUCAAAGACAUACGAAGGGAGUAUGGGAGGUGCAACCGGCGGCCAGUGCUAGAUCCCUCUUGCCCCUAGCCUUGUUGUGCAAAGUAUGAUGUGCUGGCUUGUCACACACCUGGGGGCAUCUUGAGAUGCAGAAUCUCAGCCCCACCCGAGGCCUACUGAAUCAAAAUCUGCAUUUUUUGCAACAGCAUCCGCUGAGCCUCCCCCAGGCUGAGAUGAAGUACUAUGACCUGCCAUAUCUGGGUCCUCUUUACAGCUUGGCACCAUUUGACAGAAGUUCCCAUGAGCCGUCUGUCAUACCUGAUUCUCCAAACGGGCAUCUUUUAUAAACAUGGGUUAGUUUCUUCUUUUUUAUCCACUUACAAAGUUAAGCCAUUAAAUCACCCAUGUAAAGCAUGAUUAAUUCCUUUGACAUUAAUAACAGGGUGACUUCUCUCUCCUGUUACCCCAAAGAGACUGCUAAUUGCACUGCAAUUGUUUACCUUUGUAUUGUUUUAUGAGAACUCAGGGAAAGAUGGAAGAUCUUCCCCACCAGGCCAGGAGCAAAGGCCAGACAGGUUUUGGAAAGCCUGAGCACAUGCUAUGACUACACCUUGUUAGUAGAAGGGCUUUGCUUUCUUUGUUUUGUUUUCUUUUUUAUGGAAGGAAUGACGCCUCCAUAAUUAUAGGUGUUGCUGUUUAAAUCUCAGAAUGUUUUCCAAACCGUGGAAGGGCCACACCUCCAGCAGCAGCCCGUGAGCCAUCCCGGUUGGACUCUCUCUCUCCAGCUCGAUGAACACUUUAUAAAGACCCAUCGGAGGGAGCCAGGAUUUCCAUGGGCUAGAGGGACAGCAAGGGCUGCUUCCUGCCGGGACAUGAAGGACCCUCAGGUACUCUACAGCCCUGGUGAGGUUCUCAGAGAGACCGACAGUUGGUUCGUUUCCCUCACGAGACAACAGGUUCCUUUUGUAACCCCCCAAAAAAUAAUUAAAACCAUUGUUUUAA
This is a non-coding RNA of Ictidomys tridecemlineatus (thirteen-lined ground squirrel), 5010 nucleotides long. NCBI's taxonomy places the organism in Eukaryota, Metazoa, Chordata, Mammalia, Rodentia, Sciuridae. The record is from RefSeq and is a predicted model, not a curated record.